RNAcentral lists this ribosomal RNA (1483 nucleotides) under uncultured prokaryote. RNAcentral describes it as "partial 16S ribosomal RNA". It matches the Rfam family "Bacterial small subunit ribosomal RNA". The record is from RNAcentral.
AACGGACGUUGGCGGCGUGCUUAACACAUGCAAGUCGAACGAGAACGUUCCUUCGGGGACGAGUAAAGUGGCGCACGGGAGAGUAACGAGUAAGUCAUCUACCUUUGAAGUUAUCUACCCUCCCAUCUGGAAUAACUCACCGAAAGGUGUGCUAAUACCGGAUACGUUGGAAACAAGAAAGGUGGCCUCUAUUUAUAAGCUACCGUGGGGGGAUGAGCUUGCGUACCAUUAGCUAGUUGGUAGGGUAAUGGCCUACCAAGGCAACGAUGGUUAGCGGGUCUGAGAGGAUGAUCCGCCACACUGGAACUGGAACACGGACCAGACUCCUACGGGAGGCAGCAGUGAGGAAUAUUGCGCAAUGGGGGAAACCCUGACGCAGCGACGCCGCGUGGAUGAUGAAGGCCUUUGGGUCGUAAAAUCCUGUCAGAUGGAAAGAAAUGUACAUGUGCUAAUAUCACUUGUAUUUGACGGUACCAUCAAAGGAAGCACCGGCUAACUCCGUGCCAGCAGCCGCGGUAAUACGGAGGGUGCAAGCGUUGUUCGGAAUUACUGGGCGUAAAGCGCGCGUAGGUGGCUCUAUAAGUCAGAUGUGAAAGUCCACGGCUCAACCGUGGAAGUGCAUUUGAAACUGUAGAACUUGAGUAUUGGAGGGGGUAGUGGAAUUCCCGGUGUAGAGGUGAAAUUCGUAGAUAUCGGGAGGAAUACCGGUGGCGAAGGCGACUACCUGGCCAAAUACUGACACUGAGGUGCGAAAGCGUGGGGAGCAAACAGGAUUAGAUACCCUGGUAGUCCACGCCGUAAACGAUGUCAACUAGGUGUUGGGGAGGUUAAUCUUCUCAUUGCCGCAGCUAACGCAUUAAGUUGACCGCCUGGGGAGUACGGUCGCAAGAUUAAAAACUCAAAGGAAUUGACGGGGGCCCGCACAAGCGGUGGAGUAUGUGGUUUAAUUCCCCGCAACGAGCAGCAAAUUACAUGGUCUUGACAUCCCGAAAAAGCCCUAGAAAUAGGGAAGUGCUCUCUUUGAGAGAAUUUGGUGACAUGUGCUGCAUGGCUUUCGUCAGCUCGUGUCGUGAGAUGUUGGGUUAAGUUCCGCAACGAGCGCAACCCUGGCCCUUAGUUGCUACCAUUUAGUUGGGCACUUUAAGGAGACUGCCGGUGAUAAACCGGAGGAAGGUGGGGACGACGUCAAGUCCUCAUGGCCUUUAUGACCAGGGCUACACACGUACUACAAUGGCCGGUACAACGGGCAGCCACUUCGCGAGAAGGAGCAAAUCCCUAAAAGCCGGUCUCAGUCCGGAUUGGAGUCUGCAACUUGACUCCAUGAAGUUGGAAUCGCUAGUAAUCGUGGAUCAGCAUGCCGCGGUGAAUACGUUCCCGGGCCUUGUACACACCGCCCGUCACACCACGGGAGUUGGUUGUACCAGAAGCGGUUGAGAUGACAUUAGCGAGGCAGGCAGACAAGGUAUGGCUGGUAACUGAGGUG